Long non-coding RNA from Anolis carolinensis (green anole), 6320 nucleotides. RefSeq lists it as uncharacterized. The record is from RefSeq and is a predicted model, not a curated record. NCBI's taxonomy places the organism in Eukaryota, Metazoa, Chordata, Lepidosauria, Squamata, Anolidae. The transcript has 2 exons.
GGAAAGGAGCAGGCAAACCUUGAAAGAGACUUUUCCAGGCUAACAUGAUUUCUUCUUUUUUGAAAAAAUCUCCAAGGGAUGUUCAACGCAUGGCCCCAUCUGGCAUGACACGAUAAGGCAAGCCUCUUGGAAGGAUUAAGGUUAUCUAAAGCUCCAGCAGAAGGCUGCCGCAACUGAGGACUGGCUGUUGGGUGCCCUGGAAUUUCUUCUGUGCGAAACGUUAUGGGAAGCAUGGGCCAUUUUCCCACAAGUGAGGUCAACAGCUCCGUUGGUAUUCGGAUACAAGUCUGAACAUUGUUAAGGUGGGACAGGAGGAAGAGGGUAAUUAGCAAACUGGGUGUAUAUCCUAGCUCACCAGAUGAAGACUGGUAGUCAUAUUAUGCAAAUAGGAAAUAACCAAACUAACAAGAGUCUUUGAACCCAAAGCCUUUCUACACUGUAUUUACAGCGUGCACACAACAGAAGCUGUUUGGCACAGUGUCAUGACAUUAGGAGGAGGAGUAAGGGGAUAAACAAAGAUUACACUCCACUGUAGGGAUGCAUCUCUAAAUGUUACCCAAUAGACUAUGGUUCUGUAUAGUAAUACUUCACACUGGGGGACUGAGGAAUGCAUCUUUGUACAUGCAUCCUUAGACUACAUUUCUGGUAGACAAAUAAAAUAAUACAAAGAGCAGAGGUAUGGAUUUUCUUUUUGUUAAGGUGACUAUGGCAAUGUUAUAACUUAUUUAUAUAACCAAAUAAAAAUAUUUUAAAAAUACAUUUCUGGUAGACUAAGUUUCAUAGGUACCACUCCAGUGGGAAGGUAACGGUGCUCCAUGCAGUCAUGCCAGCCACAUGACCUUGGAGACGUCUACAGACAACACCAACUCUUUGGCUUAGAAAUGGAGAUGAGCACCAACCCCCAGAGUCGGACACGACUAGACUUAAUGUCAGGGGAAAACUUUUACCUUUACUAAGGUUCAUCUAUACCUGUGGUUACCCAACCUUUCUUUGACCAGGGACCACUUUGACCAGGGAUCGCUCUCCAACAUUAGUAGCAAAAGGAUUAUGAAUCAGUUUUUGGUGAACUUUAGAUACAGUCUGGUUAUUUGGGUUGCUGAUUCAGAAAAUUGCAUUGGACAGACCACAUCAGUUCUAGUUUCUGAUACAGAACAUAUGCCAUCCAGUAGUCGCCAUCUGCUCACUCACAGAAAACCAUAUUUAAUAAUCUAGAGCUGAUGUGGUCUAUCCAAUGCAGUUUUCUGAAUCAGCACCCCAGAUAAUCCCAGGAACAGGCAUGAAAUGAAGACACCAAGGCUCUCCUGCUUCCAGGUGCCACAUGGAACUGCUCCACUCAGGGGGAGGGAGGGAGGAGGAGAAGCAACAGUCAGGAGGUUUGUUGUCACAUCUUUCGUGGGUAGUCACUCAGCCUCUCCCCUCCCGACAUCCCAGUUGCCUUGGCACUAUAAGAGGGUUUUGCAAGACCAGUCACUCUUUUUGCAAUGUUGUAGUAAUGGUGAGGUCGUGGACCAUAUUUUAGUUCUUGGAGACCACUGGUGGUCCAUGGACCUCAGGUUGGGAACCACUGAUCUAUACUGUAGAAAUAAUGCCAUUGGUUACUGCUUUGGCUCAUUGCUGUGGAAUUGUAAGAACUGCAGUUUUACAUGGUCUUUUGCCUUCUCUCCCAAAUAGUUCUGAUAUUUCACCAUAGUACAACUCCCAAGAUUCCAUAGCAUUGAGCCAUGGCAAUUAAAGUGGUGCCAAACUAUUAAUUCUGUAGUGUAGAUGCACCCUAAAAUUCUCUUUGAAUGUUCCCCAAUAGAUCUAAGAUUCUGGACAAUAUCAUUUCAAAUUGGAUGUGGGAGGAGACUCAAAGCAGCUUAACAUAAAAGCAGUAGCAUACAAUUUAAAAUAUACAAAUAUUUUGAAACAGAAUUCAAUAUAAACCCUAUUUAAAAAUUCACAGCUAAAAACCAUUAAAACAUAUUCAAAGUUCUUUGAAUGUACCCCAAUUGAGUCACAGAAUCCUAGAGUUGGAAGGGGCCUCAUGGACCAUUGAGUCCAAUCCCAUGUUCAAUGCAGGAUCUCCAGCUAAAGCAUUCCCAAGCAGAUAGCUGUCUAGUAGCUUCCAGACUGAAGUUUUGGUGAAGACCACUUCAGAUCAGAGGUGGGGGAUUGUAGCUUUGAAUAUUCUUAAGUACACAAGUUCUGGAGAAGACCACAUCAACUUGGUAGCAGGGGACUGCCUUUUUGGAUGACUCCUUGUAUACUAGCAAUGGUUGAUAACUCUCCUGAAAUAUAGCAAACAAUCAUAUUGGAGAGUGGGCUAUGAUAUCAAUUUCUCUCAUACAUGGUAACCUUGUUUUGGUGUUUUCAUUUUUAGUCUGAAGGUGUAUUACCAUCACCCUAUAAUCCUUAUUAUAACCUUUGUUCUUUGUUCAGUCUUCCCACCCCACAUCAGAGAUAGGAAAUGUUGGCCCUCUCCUAUGUCGGAAUAUAGAUCCCACAAUCACUGAUAGGAAUGGUAGGUCAAAACUUUGCGGGGACCAAAAUGUUCCCAUCCCAUUCUCAACAAUGUGUAGGGUGGUUGCUUAAUCAUUGUGUGAGAAUCAAACUUGACAGAAGUUAACACAUGAAGCAGAGGAGACAUUGUGGUUUCUGAGUAUUGUUUGUUUAUUUUUGAGGCAACUUGUCCAAGGUCAUUAAAUGAGAUUUAUGGAAAAGAGCCUUGAUCUGAAAUUCAGGAUCUCAUAUGCAUUACUUUAUUCCAAAAAUGCCAGUGAAUAUGUACAAAAUAUGCAGCACCCAGUGGGCAUGUGUGUGUAUAUCAUUUGAAAGAACUGUAUUUUUUAAUGUAAUAUCAUUGAAUACUCAAGCUCAUGUGCUGAAAUGAAAUCCUUGUUAAGAAAAACAGCCAAUAGUCUAAUUUUUUCUGCCACUUGACAGGACAUACACCACUCAUUUCCAUCUAGUAAUCUUCUUUUAAAACAGUGUAAUGUAUCUACUAUGUUGGUUUUGUAAAAAAAACAAAAAAACCCCUGUAUGGUAAAUUGUGUUUCUCCUUUCCACUGUUUUUUGGAGGAACACUUCUACAGGGUCAGCCCAUAGGACACCUAGCCAAAUAUUGGCUAUACCAGACCUAUUCUUGAUCUGCAUGUUCUUUGAUAGUGAGGACAUCGGUUUCCAGGUGGAAAGCGGUUCCUGUCAGGGUCGGCUUAAUGCGCCUUCCUCUUGACAUUUCUCCUUUUCAUCUUCCAUUCUUGCCUCCACAGCACUGCUGGUCACAGCUGACCUCCAGUUAGAACACACAAGGGCCAGGGUUUCCAGUUCUCAGUGUCUAUGCCACAAUUUUUAAGGUUAGCUUUAAGCCCAUCUUUUCCUGUCCGCCAGCAUUUUGUUUCCCGUUCUUGAGUUGGGAAUAUAGUAACUGCUUUGGGAGAUGGUGAUCGGGCAUUCGGACAAUGUGGCCAGUCCAGCGGAGCUGAUAGCAUAGGAGCAUCGCUUCAAUGCUGGUGGUCUUUGCUUCUUCCAGCACGCUGACAUUUGUCCGUCCGUCUUCCCAGUUGUAGUUGUGGACUACAACUUCCAUCACCCCAUCGGUACUAAUGACUAUAAUGAGUGGAUAAUAAUAAUAAUAAUAAUAAUAAUAAUAAUAAUAAUAAUAAUACAGUUCUAGACACUUGGGAAGUGUUCGACUUGUGAUUUUGUGAUAUGAAAUCCAGCAUGACUAUCUUGUUUGCUGUGUCAUACAAUAAUAAUAAUAAUAAUAAUAAUAAUAAUAAUAAUAAUAAUAAUAAUAAUAACAACAACAACAACUUUAUUUUUAUAGCCCGGCACCAUUCACCAUGUGAAUGUGGUGGAAGUUGUAAUCUAAUGCCACAAAAAUCUGGUCUGAACAAUUAUUUCCAGAAUUUCAGAAUAGGAAUCUUUCUCAACUCUAUGUGGAAAUACUAGCAAUUGAACUUUUUGCCUGUACAGACUGUGCUCUUCUAUAGCCAUGCUUACAAACUAGGGAACUCAUUGCUAUAAAUCUGAAAUCUGAGGAUAGUAAUUCCUUCAGAGGAAUUAUCUCCGAUUUCCAGGUUGAAAUCUUGUGCAUGACAUAACUCCUGUAUAAAGGGGAUGUUGUUUGUAUAGCCAUUAACUGUCUGAUUAAAAUAUAUGCAUUUAUGACCGUGUACCUUCAUUAGCAGUCUUGACUGUUGGAAGGCUUCUUGUACAUCUGAUAAUUUUGCUGCAGCAGUUCAUUAGAAGCAUCAGGCAACACUACCAGGUAAGAUGGAAGCACGGGUCUGACUUACAGUGAACCUAUCAUAGGAUUUUAAUGGUAAGAUUUAUUCAGAGGAGGUUUGCCAGUAUCUUCUUCUAAGCUUGAAAAAGGCUGUGAUUUGCCCAAAGUCACCCAGUAAAUUCUGUGACUGAGCAGGAACUUCAGCCCUGGUUUUUUUUAGAGUAGAGCCCUAGCCUGAUGAAGAAGUGGAAGAUACAUGUGACAAUAAAGAAGAUGACCUUGGAGCUGUGGAAGAGCAAUGCAGUGUCAUCUUACAUCUUCUGUCUUAACUCAAACUUGCUAUGGACUUAACAAGAGUGGUUUUACCCACUUUUAUUUUAGAGAAACACUAAAAUGCUGUUUGGAAAAAACAACAACAUAGGGAGCAUUCAGACAACUAAAACACCCUGAAACAAAAGGGGCACUUUUUAUGAUAGAAGAGGGGUUGGAAUUGUGCAUUCCUCCACAUCUUGUUCAACUAUAACACUAGGUAAAGGUUUACCCUUGACACUAAGUCUAGUUAGGUCUGACUCUGGACUCUAUUUCUAAGCCGAAGAGCCAGCAUUGGCCGGCAUGAUUGCAUGGAGCACCACUACCUUCCUGUCUGAGUGGUACCUAUUGAUCUACUCACAUUUGCAUGUUUUCGUACUGCUAUGUUGGCAGAAGCUGGGGCUAACGAUGGGAGCUCACCCCGCUCAAUGGAUUUGAACCACUGACCUUUGGGUCAGCAAGUUCCGAAGCUCAGCGGUUUAACCUGCUGCGCCACCGUGGCCCCUAUGUAACUAUAACACUAUGUAACAAAAAUGGAAAAAAAUCUGUUGCUGGUUUGAAAGUGUUACAGUAUUUCCUAUUUACUUGUGCAGUACUUACUUUGAAACUAGCUGUUACACUGCAGAAACUUUGUUUUUGUGGCUGCCACAAAAUAUGCUGAAUUGGUUGAGACUCUAGGAGAUAUUCAUUGAAAAACUAUAGCAAAAUGUGCUGCAGGAUGUUCUGCAAAAACGAACGUUUUUGCAGUUUAAUGAUAGAACCAAUUAGCAAAUUACAUAGUGGCAUCAACAUCAACAGCCAACACGCUGUUACAUAGUGGCAUCAACAUCAACAGCCAACACGCUGUUGAUGAGGAAUGCUAGGAGUUACAGCCCUAUAUAAUCUGAAGAUUCGCACAAAUCCUAUCCCUGUUCCUUAGACUCCUUCCACACAGAAGAAUAAAAUCGUACUAGUGGUACCAGAAUAUUCUCCUUUGUUUUUAUGUUCAGAACAUUACCAUCACACUUCAAAUAACCAGUGAUGGUCAACUAUCCUUCGUCUUUUCUAUAGCACUCUCGAAAGAUACUUUUUGAACUACAACACCAGACUGGGGGCUUCUGGGAAAUGUAGUAUAGAAAAGAUAACCUUUCUAAAUUCUGUCUCUUUAACUACUUUGCUUUCUUUCCUGCAUCACAGACUCCCCUCCUCACACUCCCAAAAAAAUCAAAGUGGAAAUGUCCAAUGGAUUUUGCCUCCAGGCAGAUAAUGACUUGAGUUUUGCCUGCACUUGUUCUACAUUCUGCAGCAUAGUUGGCUGUCUGACCUUCCAAACAUGAAAUCCAUUCACCUAAAUAGCUUAGUUUAUUUCCAGUAUAAGUUGGUGGGAGGUGGGUAUGGCUGGGUAAGGGAAAGUUUUACUAGUUUUGGAAGUCAGUUGACUAGUUGCAAUGCAAAGAAAAAAAUAUCAUCUAGAAAAGUCGACAGAGAUAAAACAUCACAAUGCCAGACAGGAAAAGGAAAUGGAACAGGUAUACAGGCAAUCCCCGAGUUACAAACAUCUGACUUACAAAUGACUCAUAGUUAAGAAUGAGGGUGAGACAACAUGAAGAGAAAUCUUUCCCUAGGAAGGGAAAUUCAUGGGGAAAAGGUGUCUCUGCUAAAGCUUUCUCACCAAUCCACAACAAGCCAAAUUUUCCAAAAUCCAAUUAUCACAGGGAUAGAAAGUGAAGUGAAAUCUUCUGAAAUAUUAACCCUAAACAUGUGUUUUUCAUUUCAGAACACACUGCAUUUCCUGAAGCUGUUCAAUAAACACUUUGCUGUA